CUACGGGGUGCAGCAGUGGGGAAUAUUGCACAAUGGGGGAAACCCUGAUGCAGCAACGCCGCGUGGAGGAUGAUGCAUUUCGGUGUGUAAACUCCUUUUAUAUAGGAAGAUAAUGACGGUACUAUAUGAAUAAGCACCGGCUAACUCCGUGCCAGCAGCCGCGGUAAUACGGAGGGUGCAAGCGUUACUCGGAAUCACUGGGCGUAAAGCGCGCGCAGGCGGCCUUUUAAGUUGGAUGUGAAAGCCUAUGGCUUAACCAUAGAACUGCAUCCAAAACUAUCAGGCUAGAGUCUGGGAGGGGAAGAUGGAAUUAGUUGUGUAGGGGUAAAAUCCGUAGAGAUAACUAGGAAUACCAAAAGCGAAGGCGAUCUUCUGGAACAGUACUGACGCUGAGGCGCGAAGGCGUGGGGAGCAAACAGGAUUAGAUACCCGAGUAGUC
Molecule: ribosomal RNA, 439 nt
Filed under: uncultured bacterium
Lineage: Bacteria
Description: partial 16S ribosomal RNA
Rfam family: Bacterial small subunit ribosomal RNA
Source: RNAcentral